Molecule: non-coding RNA, 990 nt
Organism: Labrus mixtus (cuckoo wrasse)
Lineage: Eukaryota; Metazoa; Chordata; Actinopteri; Labriformes; Labridae
Source: the annotation of a RefSeq genome assembly
UGAGAGUUGAACACUGGAGGACUGACAGCUGUCCUUCAUCACAACAGGAGCCACAGAAAUCCUCCUCCUCCUCGUCCAAAAACAUGACUUUGAUCUGCGUCCUCAUCUGGACUCUCCUCCUCUGCUGCUGCUUCACAGAGUCCAGAGGACAGGUCACAGUGACUCAGCCUGCAGCAGUGAGAUCUGCUCUGGGAGCCUCUGUCACCGUCUCAUGUAGGACCAGUCAGAAUGUAGAUACUACGAACAGCAAACCCGACUUAGCCUGGUACCAACAGAAAGAUGGAGGAACUCCUAAACUGCUGAUUUACUCUGGUAGCACUCGAGAAACGGGGACUUCAAGUCGUUUUACAGGCAGUGGAUCACGGUCUGACUUCACUCUGACCAUCAGUGGAGUCCAGACUGAAGACGCAGCAGUUUACUACUGUCAGAGUUUACAUGAUAUCAACAGUCAGUGGGUGUUCACACAGUGAAAAAGCGUCGUACAAAAACCUCCCUCAGUCAGCCUGAACAGAAACCAGACUGACUGCUGCAGCAGGAAGCUUCUGCAGAGACUGACACACUUCACUGAGGACACACCGAACCACAGAUGUGCGCUCAGUUUAGUUUACUGUCCUGCAGACUCUUUUACCUAAAACAACUUUUCAACUUACACAAUAAGAGCCAAUGUUUAGGGAAGGGUAAAAGCAACACAUAGCAGUACUUGAAUAAGAGAGGAAGCAAACACUAUACAAGAGCCAGCCUGCACUUUAUGUGUUUUUAUUUGCCUCUAUAAGGUGUUCACAAAUGUCCAACUGAACCUGGGCCUUACAGCCCCGUUUCCACCAAGCGGUCUGGUUUGGUUCAGUACAGUCUGAUACAGUAAACCCUGAUCUUGCUUGCGUUUCAACAGCCAACCGUACAUCAUAAAACAACAGCGGCACGACAGACAGCCAAGACAUUCAACAAAGAAGAAGAAGAAUGUGACACAGUAAACAAAAAUGAAUGAUUGCA